RNAcentral lists this ribosomal RNA (306 nucleotides) under uncultured bacterium. RNAcentral describes it as "partial 16S ribosomal RNA". It matches the Rfam family "Bacterial small subunit ribosomal RNA", at positions 507 to 807 of the family's 1533-position model. The record is from RNAcentral.
GACAGCAGCCGCCGCGGGAAUACAGAGGUCCCGAGCGUUGUUCGGAUUCACUGGGCGUAAAGGGUGUGUAGGAGGUUGGAUAAGUCAGGUGUGAAAUCCCGCAGCUCAACUGCGGAACUGCAUUCGAUACUGUUCAACUAGAGGAUCGGAGGGGGAAGCGGAAUUCUUGGUGUAGCGGUGAAAUGCGUAGAUAUCAAGAGGAACACCGGUGGCGAAGGCGGCUUCCUGGAAGAUACCUGACUCUGAAACACGAAAGCCAGGGGAGCGAAUGGGAUUAGAUACCCCCGUAGUCCCUGUCUCUUAUAC